RNAcentral lists this transfer RNA (72 nucleotides) under Mus musculus (house mouse). It matches the Rfam family "tRNA". Rfam says of the family: Transfer RNA (tRNA) molecules are approximately 80 nucleotides in length. Their secondary structure includes four short double-helical elements and three loops (D, anti-codon, and T loops). Further hydrogen bonds mediate the characteristic L-shaped molecular structure. tRNAs have two regions of fundamental functional importance: the anti-codon, which is responsible for specific mRNA codon recognition, and the 3' end, to which the tRNAs corresponding amino acid is attached (by aminoacyl-tRNA synthetases). tRNAs cope with the degeneracy of the genetic code in two manners: having more than one tRNA (with a specific anti-codon) for a particular amino acid; and 'wobble' base-pairing, i.e. permitting non-standard base-pairing at the 3rd anti-codon position. The record is from Rfam by way of RNAcentral. Lineage: Eukaryota; Metazoa; Chordata; Mammalia; Rodentia; Muridae.
GGGGAUGUAGCUCAGUUGGUAGAGCAUUUGCCUAGCAUGCACAGAGCCCUGAGUUGGAUCCCAGCACCACCU